Ipomoea nil (Japanese morning glory) is the source of this 793-nucleotide long non-coding RNA. RefSeq lists it as uncharacterized. Lineage: Eukaryota; Viridiplantae; Streptophyta; Magnoliopsida; Solanales; Convolvulaceae. The transcript is spliced from 2 exons. The record is from RefSeq and is a predicted model, not a curated record.
CCUCUUUUUUCAUCAUUAUUUCUCUCUCCAUCUCCCUAUAUAAACCCCUAGCAACCAUGCAACUCCUCCACCACCUCAAACAAACAAAAAAAAAAAUAUUCUCGUUACGAUAAAGCGUUUGUUAGAGUUUAAGGUUGGUUUAUAAAUAGACUUGUGGAAUAAUAUAAGCUUCGUUGAAGGCAAAAGAAAAGAGGCCGGCGGGGAAAGAUGAACUACAGGAAAGAGGGUCCAAAGCUAGAUUUGAAGCUCAACUUAUCACCGCCGCGAGCCACCGCUCCACAGUACUCAUCACCGCUAAGAUCGUCGUCGCCGCCGAGCUCAUGCGUGUCCUGGGAGGCGAGCCCGGCGGACGGGGGCGGCGCCGCCGAGGCCACUUCAAUGAUGAUGCUGGUUGGGUGCCCGAGAUGCCUAAUGUAUGUUAUGCUGGCGCAAGAGGACCCAAAAUGCCCCAAGUGCAAAAGCACCGUCUUGCUUGACUUCUUCCAUGAAGAAAGGACCAAGAACUCUAACAAGAAGUCGCCAUGAACAACCUUCUCAGCUCCCUCAUCAUUUACAUUAAUAUAUAUCAAUUGUUUUCUGAUAUGAUCUUCUGUUGUUAAGUUUCUACCUCUGAUGAUCUCUUAUUAUUAUUAUUAUUAUUAUUAUUAUUAUUAUUUUGUUGUUGCUAAUAAAUUUACUGGUUUUGGAGUUGUAUUAUUCUUUAGAUAUUUAUUUAUUUUUUUUGGGGGGGGGGUAAUAUCUUCAUAAUAUGCAUGCAGCUGCUAUUAAUAUUAGCAGCUCUUAGUUGCUAUCA